RNAcentral lists this unclassified non-coding RNA (1300 nucleotides) under Bombus terrestris (buff-tailed bumblebee). RNAcentral's name for it is "misc RNA ENSBTSG00005023428.1". Lineage: Eukaryota; Metazoa; Arthropoda; Insecta; Hymenoptera; Apidae. The record is from RNAcentral.
GAAAAAGAACGGAUCGUGAAAUUGCAGCGAAUCAUUCAAGAAACGCGCCAGGAUUUGCAAACGUGAACGUUGAAGAAACGACGAGAGGAAAACCGAUCGUUAGAGCAAACCGAGAAGACUUACUUAACGAUCAUUAUAUUUUCAAACGCUGCUUUCACUUGUCGCCAUUAGGCAUCGAUGAUGUUCCUAACAUUGCCUAACAAACUCGAACGGACCAUAUAUCUCUUCCACGUCGAUCGCUAUACGUUGCGUCUCGUAACCACAAAGCCGCCCUUCCUAAAAUUUUCAAUUUUUAUACAGGUUAGCACGCGUCUCAGCACUCUCUUUGUCUCACCAUCUUCUUUACCACACUACCAACGGAACAGUUGCGUUCUUCUGUCUAACGAGACGCUGUGCACGCACAUACUCUAUACACUCAUACUCAUAUAUGUGUGUCACUACUACGCAGUUAAUCUAGUGUCAAAUUACACAUAUCUCAAUAAUAUAUAUGUAAACUCCCUAGAGUUCAUGUAGGAUAGGGAUUCUUUUUGUUUUACGGGUAGCACGACAGGCUGUGUUUCACGGACAGAGCGAUCUUCUUUUGUUUUAUGGACGACCAUUUUAAGAAGCACGUUUUUCCCGAACGAACGGAUAGAGAGUUACAUUAGAGACAGACAAGGUUACAGAAUAGUUAUUUAAGAUUUUAAAGACUGGAGAAGAAAGAUCGGUAGCUCAGGACGUUGAAAAUCGAUUCUCAAUUUUCAAAUAAACAUUGUACCAAAGACUUGUUAUUUCCCGUUUAUAUAAUUAUUGUUAUUUAUUGUUAUAGACGCAUAUUAAUUGUUGUUUAUUUUUGUAUUUUAUUAAUUACUUCAUAAUAAAAACUCGAUUUUCACACUACAGAAUCGAUCCCUGAAUCUUAUUAUCUAAUCCCUAAUCUAUUACGAUCUUACAUAUAUAUAUAUAUAUAUGUCUUUCGAGAACCAAAUUGAUCAACUCCAUGCUUUAAUGGUUUUUUGUCAUUUCUGUGUCCUUGCAGGUAUGUAUGUUUUUGUUUUCGUUUACCAAUAUAAUCAUAAUAGUCGAGUUUCAUAACAGUGCUACUGAAAUGUUACACAUUACGUACGGGUCACGAGAUAUCUCGUUUUUAGCAAGCCAAACGUUCUGGCCGAGUCACGAGAUAUCUCGUUUUCAUGUUUUUUCGAUCGAAUCGAUGACUUCAGCAGCCGGAGACAAAUGUUUUUGUUAUGUUAUCAGGGUAAUGAAGCCUUGCGCAUUCUUGUGACAAAUGAUUAGCAAAACAACUGAAUGUUGACAUUCU